This is a non-coding RNA of Hordeum vulgare subsp. vulgare (domesticated barley), 124 nucleotides long. The record is from Rfam. Lineage: Eukaryota; Viridiplantae; Streptophyta; Magnoliopsida; Poales; Poaceae.
CAUAUACUACCUCCGUCUCGAAAUACUUGUCCUGGAAAUGAAUAAAAUGGAUGUAACUAUAACUAAAAUAAGUCUAGAUACAUUCAUUUCUAGGACAAGUAUUUCCGGACGGAGGGAGUAUGUG